GCUAUUCGCUUCAUUUAUUUCAU
This 23-nucleotide microRNA is filed under the name Ananas comosus (pineapple). RNAcentral's name for it is "microRNA s1298_c034b". Lineage: Eukaryota; Viridiplantae; Streptophyta; Magnoliopsida; Poales; Bromeliaceae. The record is from RNAcentral.